AUGGGACGCGGACGAGGCCGCAGGGGCGAUGGCGGCCGGCCGGGCGGGGCCUGCUGGUGGCUGCUGCGGAGGGGGCGUGGUCAGCGUGGCGAAUGGCGGACAACGCCGGUGGGGGAGGAAGGGGAGGAAAGAGAGGAAGGGGAGGAGGGGAAGUCGGGCGUCAGCGGAGCGCUGAGGGGAGACAACCAUUUUGCUAAGCACGGCGGGCGUGUUAAGUUGGUGCAGGAAUGUCGCCUCCCUCCAGGCCCCUCUCACUGCUUUCGGUCCAGCGGGGCGCCGCGGCGGGAGGCCCAAGGCCAAACGUGGCUACGGGGCAAGGAAGUAACGGCCCUGGAGCCUCCCUGGGCGCCGCCUCCGUGGUUUAUCUCGGGGCAGGCCCUCGGGGAGUCGUGCUUCUCCCCGGCCCAGGGCGGGAGCAGGCAGGCGAGGGCACCUGAAACUCCCAUUGCCGCCUGGAUCAAGGACAAACAGUUCGACAACUGUCACAACACCAUACUGCAACUUUUAAAAAGUUCUAAAAACAUGUACCACCGCAGCUGGCUGGCUGGCAUUGCACCUGCAUCUCUGCUGCUGCUCACGGAGUUCUGUGGGGCUGAGGGUUUGAUCUCGCUCUUCUACCUAGUUUUUUAUGAGUUCCUGGCUGCACUUUUCUCAUUCACAAUGUGGGCUAUGCUUCAGAAUCUGAACAAUGAGGUUCCAAAAUAUUGUGACCAGAUUCCUAGUCCAGGACAUAUGUUUUUUCAAAAACUAGUGACUGCAUUGGAAUAUUCAUUCGGUAGGUCUGAUCCAAGGUCCUAAGGGUAGCUUGAAGACUUAAGAAGUUUCUAAAGCCUUAAUAUUUAGAAGAACAGAAGAAUUUCGUAGUCUGUUCUGAUGGAGCACUUUUUGAACAGAAGGGUCCAAUUUAUGCUGCAUGUCAGUUUCCUGUUGUCUUGCUUCAAGCAUGCAGUGGUGUGGAUGAUCCUGAGUUUUGCUAGUCCAGAGGAAACUCUUGUAUUCUUGUGAAAAUGAACAGAAUAAUUGGAUUAAAGACUCAAGGAGAACCAAGGAUAGAAUGUAUUUCAAAGGAUGAAAACACAGCAACUCUAUCAACUUAUCCUCCCAAUGGAAUUAUAGACUUAAAAUAUUUUCCAUAUUAUGGGAAAAAACUGCAUGUGAGUUAUCUACAGCCAUUAGUUGCUAUCCAGGUCCCCUUUGAUGCUAGUAGUACCAUAAAAGAAGUAACAGUAGAGUGCAAGAUUGAUGGAUCACCCACCCUAAAAACCAGGAUGAUCGUGGCAAGUUUUUAAGGACGAGUUGUGUUCAAAAUCAGAGUGCUUGCAUAGUAUGAGUUAGGAUAUCUCCACAGAGUAGAUAUUGUGUUGUCUGUCUUCAUUUUUUUAUCAGCUGGACCUGCCAUUCUGGAAUUAUGAGACCACCUUGGAGAAAGGUGGGUGGUACAUGGCACUAGGGUGACAUCAUAAUGUGCUUCCAGGUCAUAGUGUUCAAUACCUUCUGAAGUAACUGCCUGUUGCCUCUGCUGCCUUUUGAACCUGGGUACAGUCGCCAGAUAGGGACUAUGAACACCUGAU
Non-coding RNA from Ceratotherium simum simum (southern white rhinoceros), 1571 nucleotides. Lineage: Eukaryota; Metazoa; Chordata; Mammalia; Perissodactyla; Rhinocerotidae. The record is from RefSeq and is a predicted model, not a curated record.